Molecule: unclassified non-coding RNA, 173 nt
Filed under: soil metagenome
Description: partial contains 5.8S ribosomal RNA, internal transcribed spacer 2, and large subunit ribosomal RNA
Source: RNAcentral
AACCAUUCUCACCUGCGGCUAGACCUGCGGAGGGAUCAUUAAAGAUUGACCGAAAGGUCUUAUCUCUAUAUCCCUCACCUCUGUGAACUGUGGACCUCCGGGUCUAUUUAACAAACAUCAGUGUAAUGAACGUAUAUAUCAUUAAACAAAACAAAACUUUCAACAAUGGAUCU